AUUGAACGCUGGCGGCAGGCUUAACACAUGCAAGUCGAGCGGAUGAAGGGAGCUUGCUCCUGGAUUCAGCGGCGGACGGGUGAGUAAUGCCUAGGAAUCUGCCUGGUAGCGGGGGAUAACGUCCGGACACGGGCGCUAAUACCGCAUACGUCCUGCGGGAGAACGUGGGGGAUCUUCGGACCUCACGCUAUCAGAUGAGCAUAGGUCGGUUUAGCUAGUUGGUGGGGUAAAGGCCUACCCAGGCGACUAUCCGUAACUGGUCUGAGAGGAUGAUCAGUCAAACUGGAAAUGAAGCCGUGUGGCAAGUAACACAGAAGGCAGCAGUGGGGAAUAUUGGGCCAUGCGUGAAAACCUAAUGCAGCCAUGCUGCGUGUGUGAAGCAGGUAUUCGGAUUGUGAAGCAAGCUAAGUUGGGAGGAGGGGCAGUAAGUUAAAAUCCGGCUAGUUUCACGUUACCAACAAAAAAAGCACCGGCUAACUACGUG
RNAcentral lists this ribosomal RNA (484 nucleotides) under uncultured bacterium. RNAcentral describes it as "partial 16S ribosomal RNA". It matches the Rfam family "Bacterial small subunit ribosomal RNA", at positions 30 to 507 of the family's 1533-position model. The record is from RNAcentral.